This 253-nucleotide ribosomal RNA is filed under the name uncultured bacterium. RNAcentral describes it as "partial 16S ribosomal RNA". It matches the Rfam family "Bacterial small subunit ribosomal RNA", at positions 524 to 776 of the family's 1533-position model. The record is from RNAcentral.
UACGGAGGGUGCUAGCGUUAUCCGGAUUUACUGGGCGUAAAGCGCACGCAGGCGGUCUGUCAAGUCGGAUGUGAAAUCCCCGGGCUCAACCUGGGAACUGCAUCUGAUACUGGCAAGCUUGAGUCUCGUAGAGGGGGGUAGAAUUCCAGGUGUAGCGGUGAAAUGCGUAGAGAUCUGGAGGAAUACCGGUGGCGAAGGCGGCCCCCUGGACAAAGACUGACGCUCAGGUGCGAAAGCGUGGGGAGCAAACAGG